Molecule: transfer RNA, 62 nt
Filed under: Paradoxopsyllus custodis
Lineage: Eukaryota; Metazoa; Arthropoda; Insecta; Siphonaptera; Leptopsyllidae
Also listed under: 1 other name
Description: tRNA-His
Source: RNAcentral
AUUUAAAUAGUUUAAUUAAAAUAUUGAUUUGUGGAGUCAAAGAUGUAUUAUUACUUUAAAUU